UGGGGAAUUUUGGACAAUGGGGGAAACCCUGAUCCAGCCAUCCCGCGUGUGCGAUGAAGGCCUUCGGGUUGUAAAGCACUUUUGGCAGGAAAGAAACGUCAUGGGUUAAUACCCCGUGAAACUGACGGUACCUGCAGAAUAAGCACCGGCUAACUACGUGCCAGCAGCCGCGGUAAUACGUAGGGUGCAAGCGUUAAUCGGAAUUACUGGGCGUAAAGCGUGCGCAGGCGGUUCGGAAAGAAAGAUGUGAAAUCCCAGAGCUCAACUUUGGAACUGCAUUUUUAACUACCGGGCUAGAGUGUGUCAGAGGGAGGUGGAAUUCCGCGUGUAGCAGUGAAAUGCGUAGAUAUGCGGAGGAACACCGAUGGCGAAGGCAGCCUCCUGGGAUAACACUGACGCUGAUGCACGAAAGCGUGGGGAGCAAACAGG
This 429-nucleotide ribosomal RNA is filed under the name Acidobacteriota bacterium. RNAcentral describes it as "Acidobacteria bacterium partial 16S ribosomal RNA". It matches the Rfam family "Bacterial small subunit ribosomal RNA", at positions 355 to 776 of the family's 1533-position model. Lineage: Bacteria; Pseudomonadati; Acidobacteriota. The record is from RNAcentral.